This is a non-coding RNA of Mycena leptocephala, 92 nucleotides long. NCBI's taxonomy places the organism in Eukaryota, Fungi, Basidiomycota, Agaricomycetes, Agaricales, Mycenaceae. The record is from the annotation of a GenBank genome assembly.
GACCUGGUGGUGAAAUGUAUCACACCCACUCUGCCUCACUCAACUCUAAGUGCGUUUUGUGGGAAUCCCUGGUUCAAAUCCAGGUCAGGUCA